GAUAUUACAAGUGGACUUUCAGGUGGGAAUCUCAAUAAUUGUAACACCAAACUCUGACAGAAUUACUCAAUUCAUCAGGACCUGGAUAUUCACAUUAUAUUUCCACAAUUUUACUUCUGCACUGUUCUUAGUCUUUCAGAGGGAUCGAAAGACUGAGUUACAGAGCUAUACAAUGCCUGUCCUUCCUCCCUGGCUCUCCCACCUCUCUUUCAGGAGUUUUGUGCAAACACUGACUGGAUCCCUUACCUGGAGGAUAUUUAUUUAUGAAUUUGUUCUAAUGAUAAUCCAGCAUAUUCCCCAAGUAUCGCUCCACAAAUGUCCAGAGGAUUUCUCAGUUCCACAAUCUGUGUGUGUUCUUCUGGUUCCUCGCUCACUGCACUUGCUUUCUGUUUGAAAGCUUAGUCUACAGUUAGAGAAUUCAAACAGGAACACAUCCAGAUCUGACAGUCACUUUGUUUAUCACAACUCAAUUACCUAAGGAUUUUGAACACUGAAGGAAAAAGCAGUUCUCACAGUGGGGAGAAAUGCACAUGAUCUGUGAAGAUUCAUCUGAAAUGUCCUUACACCAGCUCAGUGACACGGGGGAGAGACCAUUCACCUGCUCUAAAUGUGGGAAAGCAUUCACUCAGUCAUCCAAACUGUUAACACACCAGUGAGUUCACAAAGAAGCACAGUUGAAGGAUUUUGCUGUCACUCUCACUAUCAAAUGAACCAUGGUUUUGGGCUGUUUGUACUGAUGUUACUGAUCCCUGUUCAAUUAAAGGUACUGGUAUUGUGGAUAAAA
This is a long non-coding RNA of Stegostoma tigrinum, 784 nucleotides long. RefSeq lists it as uncharacterized. The record is from RefSeq and is a predicted model, not a curated record. NCBI's taxonomy places the organism in Eukaryota, Metazoa, Chordata, Chondrichthyes, Orectolobiformes, Stegostomatidae. The transcript is spliced from 2 exons.